Gossypium raimondii (Peruvian cotton) is the source of this 404-nucleotide long non-coding RNA. RefSeq lists it as uncharacterized. The transcript has 2 exons. The record is from RefSeq and is a predicted model, not a curated record. NCBI's taxonomy places the organism in Eukaryota, Viridiplantae, Streptophyta, Magnoliopsida, Malvales, Malvaceae.
CUAAAUGAAUCCCUAUUUCAAUUGCAGCCACAGGGUCCGUCCCCUCCCUGCUCCUCACGCCGAAAACCAGCAAGAAUGCCGACAGUGCGCCUAUGCUGGUGAAGGAGAAGUGGAAACGGGCGUUGUGCAGGGCUGCUGAACGUGUGAGCAACGACGUGGGCAGUGGGAACAGUUGCUGCGGCGUGGGGUGGCUGCUGCUAACUGCUGCUUAGGGUUAGGCUAGGGUUAGAUUUGGAUUUGGGUUAAUGACUAGGGCCUUAUUGGGCCAAAUGUAUUUGGGCUGUGUAAACGGUUUUGGGCCCGGGCAACAAUUGGGUAUUACAAUAAGAUUACGGCUGCAGUGUAAAAUACCUUAUUUGGUUCAUUUGCUUGGAAUGAAAGAUUCGUGUAUUCGAUUGAUGAAA